CGUACACCAGGCAUAUUUCUGCACGGAUUAACUCAUUUAAGCUUUAUAAUCUCCCUCUGAACUCAGCAAACACUGAAAAAAAACUUUAAUGAAAGGAAGGGGAGCAGAAACUCAUCGCCAGGCUUGAAAGUAAAGCUUCAACCACCUCCUACUCCUGUGUGUCUCGGCUCAAGACCCAGAUUCCCAGAAGAGCGAGCUAGGAUUGACCAACGAGAGUCAGGCACCCAGCCCUACAGCCAGGGGGUGAAGUUCGGUGAUUGACAGCCCCAUCAGAGCCAUGUAACACAGGCAAGGGGUAGUUCCCCAGAGGAAGUGACACCCAGCAAACAGACACACCGACGACAAGUAUAACCACUCUCACAGAACCAGGACUCCUUCUAAGAACAUAGAACCUUGCUGGAGGGGAGGUCCUCAUCUAAGACAGGCACAGAUGGCUCAAAUCACAGUGACAAUGUUACGCUCAGUCAAGAGUCUGAAGAGUCUCAGACCCUCCUUGAAAUUCAAGGCCAGCGCUGGAUAAGGACCUUCAAGGUAUUUAAGCAGCUUCCCAAGGUGCAGCGCCCAGAAGAAAAUGCUCACUGGAUUUAUGGGGCACAUUAUUGAUAAACCCAGCGACCAUGUGUCAUAAUUCAGUAUGCAGGCGGAGAAGCAAAUGGCACUAGAGGUUUUGUAUUAAAUAGACAGACCCUGAGCCUGAUUUAUGUAUCGAGUGCCAGUUGCUCCCAGGGGGACCCAGGACAAUAGGUCUGAAACUACUUCUGUCUUUGCUUCUUGACUCCUUCCUCUGUGUCUGAAAGGAUUCACUAGGCAGUAUGACCUUUGCAAUGUCGUCAUUGCUUGUUACAUCUGCCCUAGGAGGUGGACUUUGAGAUUUACCAGGAAUGAAACCACAUCCAUGACUAUUGCCUUUGAAAUGGGACAGUCCCUGCUGGACACUGUUAAAAUACUUCAGAAGGUAGCAUUUCCCCCGUUUUUCCACAAGGGCUGCUUUCAAGAUAUAACCACCUGUUUAUGUAUGUGUUUAUGCUUCUAACACUUAUUGAAGACCAUUAAGAAACAGACUCUCUGCUCUGCAUUAUGGUUACAAAAAUAUGUAAGAUGUAGCUCCACUCUCAACUUUCUUACAGUCUAAUGGAGAUUGAGAAUGUUAGCAAAUGUACUAAAAUAGGAGCAAUGAGACCUAGCGCAUCUGGACCAUUUUUCUAUCUAUUCAAACUCGAGUAUAUCUCUUUGAUACUCAGGUUGCUCACCUGAAAGAUGCAGAGAAUAGUAAAUCCAUACCUGUCCCAAAGGCCAUUAGAAAGCGCA
This 1308-nucleotide long non-coding RNA is filed under the name Equus asinus (donkey). RNAcentral describes it as "lncRNA (ENSEASG00005024577.1)". Lineage: Eukaryota; Metazoa; Chordata; Mammalia; Perissodactyla; Equidae. The record is from RNAcentral.